This 253-nucleotide ribosomal RNA is filed under the name uncultured bacterium. RNAcentral describes it as "partial 16S ribosomal RNA". It matches the Rfam family "Bacterial small subunit ribosomal RNA", at positions 524 to 776 of the family's 1533-position model. The record is from RNAcentral.
AACGUAGGUUCCGAGCGUUAUCCGGAUUUACUGGGCGUAAAGCGCGUUCAGGCGGUUUGGCAAGUCGGGCAUGAAAUCUCUCGGCUCAACCGGGAGAGGUUGUCCGAUACUGCUGGACUUGAGGGCAGUAGAGGGUGGUGGAAUUCCGGGUGUAGUGGUGAAAUGCGUAGAUAUCCGGAGGAACACCAGUGGCGAAAGCGGCCACCUGGACUGCGCCUGACGCUGACACGCGAAAGCUAGGGGAGCGAACGGG